AUUUCCUAAGGGACUUUAAUUGUCCAAAAACAAGAAACCCAUACUUGAAACCCUAAAAGAAAAAUCAAAACAGUAAAAUAAACAUUGAGACUAAACCCAAAUUACUCUAAAAAUCUGAGAAAACCCAGCAGCUUCGCUCGUCUUGCAAUCAACACAUCUCGUCUACCACCAUCAUUCCAUCUUUUGUUGGUCUUACCAAUAUCGUCUGUGAUAAGUUCUUGUAGAAGUAAAAACCAUUAGAGUUUUUAAAUGAUUUAUUCCUCCAACCCAUUUCAUCUAUUGUUCAGUGGCCUUAUAUCCUUUUCGAGUAUCAUUUCCGCCCUAUGAGGGGCCUCCUCAAUCCAUACCCUUUGAUCUGGCCAUUUCUCACCCUUUUCAACCAUCUCAUGUGUUGCCUGGUUCGCCGAUCAUCCUACAAAAGAGCAUGUAAAAGUUUCAAAUCUACGCGUUCUUUCCUUUAUUUCAUGAACUAUCGCUACUAUGUUCGAUUUAUCCAACAUUGAUGCCCGAAUUUUUUUAUUACAGUUAAAGAAUCCCCUCCUACUGUCAGAUUUCAAAAGCUCAACUCCUCAGCCACCAUCACUGCUUGGAGGCACGCUUUCACCUCCGUCGUGGUAGCGUCUGUUAUAAAGGGGUUGUGGUAAGUACACAAUGCCAAAAUAAGUCCUUCACUAUAUCUGAACAUGAUUCCCAUAACUAAUUUAAGCAAAUAAUUGUUGUAAGCUGUGUCAAAAUUGUAUUUGAUCGUGUUUGCUCUUGGUCGUGACCACAUACCGUUAUAUAACCCUGCAAAUGUUGCUAUUUCUUUGACUAUACUGGUACUCUUUACCUUGUAUGCUUUUAUAAAUGUUAUUACCUACUUGUAUUCAUCUUUUUGCCUUGAUGGUGGAUUUUAUUUCUUUUCUACCAAAUCGCCCAUAAAGCAAUAGCUAAAUAUUCUCUUUGUUCUUCUUCCUUAUUGGUGAAAACAUUUGCUAAUCAGAUUUUCCAAUUUUGGCCAUGGGUGUUGGGAAAGGUAUCCAUCCCCACAACCUACAAAAGGCUUUUGGAAAUUAGACAUUCCUAGAAAAUAAAAUUCACUAAUUCCUCUAUUGAUUAACAAAAAAGACAAAUAGUCAUCGCUAUUAGCCUUCUGGCUUGUAAAUUGUUGAAAGUAGGAAUGUAAUUGUUUAUUACUUUCCAUAAUGUAAUUUUAAUCUUGCUUGUCAGUUGUAAAUUCCAUAGUCUAUUGUAAAAAUUCUAUAGAGUUGUUUGUGAUAGCGUUGCAUCCCUUGUUGUUGUAUCUUCUGUAAGUAACCACUUAUACCCAUUUUUUGAUGUGUACUCGCUUGUAUUGUCCCCCUACCAAACUCUAACGUUCAUGAUAUUGACACCUGCAACUAGGAUGGUCAUUAUCCUGUUUGUCUGGUAUUCGUCGAAUAACUUCUCGAGGACUUCCAACUGCCAGGUGGAAUUGUCUGAAUUGAUCAAAUCUACUACUGUUGUAAAGUUAACAUUAAUGCCUUGACCAGUAAUUUUUCCUUGCCUAGGUCUGUAACACCCUUUACUCGAUUUCGACGUCGGAACAGGAUACGAGGUGUUACCAGACUUGAACACAUACAUACAAACAUUUUCGAGUCAUAAAAUUUUGCUCGAUUUUAAAAAUUUUAAACUUCCUCUUAACAACCCCUAAUGUAGACCUAUGAGGCCCAAAAUACGCUUUGGAAAUGGUUUGAGAAUAAACUAAAUACUUUAGAAAACUUUAUAAAAUUUCAAAACAAACAGGGGCACACGCCUAUGUGGAAGGACGACACGCCCGUGAUUAUUCUUAACAUGGCCAUGUUGAGGGCAUGUGUGGCUCACACAGCCUGAACAUAUCGGGGCACGCCCAUGUCCCUAGCCCAUGUGAAUUUAUUUCUCGAUUCAAACCUACAGGGGUUUUCACAUGGCUUGGCGCAUGCCCGAGUCCAUGGCCCGUGUCCCCCCACACGGCCAUGAUACGAGUGUGUCUCAGCCCACGUACAAAAACCUUGACAUUUUUUUUGUGAUGUAGCAACCCUUUAGGGGCAUACGGCCAUGGUACACGCCCGACUACCAGGCCGUGUCCUCCACACGGUUCAGACACACGGCCGUGUCUUCGCCCGUGUGGUUACCACUAAGCAUUCUAUUUUGCCAAAUUUAGGUGCAGGGACACAAGGCUUGACUACACGCCCAUGGUGCAAACCGUGUGUCACACACGGUCUAGACACACGCCCGUGUGUCUACUCGUGUAGACAAAAACAAGGCUAUCUACCAAGCCUUUUUGCCACCUUUACUUGUUCCAACCUAUACAACAUCAAACAUAACCAAUCCAACCAUAAACACCCAUAACCAAAAUAGCCACAACCAUGAAAAUUUUCAUCGAAUGCAUUUAAUGGUAAUCAAUAUUAGCCAACAUCAAUGGCCUAUACAAAAUGAAUACCACAUCCAUAUGAGCCAACACAUGUGGCUAAACUAACAUGACACUAAACAAAACGAACUAGUCCCUAUACAUGCCAUACUCAAAACAUUUAAACUAACUAUACCAAAAGCUUCAGGUGAUAAUGUGAUCGAUGCCUCCUACGUCCCUUGAUUCUUGAUGCUAGUUUGGCGGCACUAUAAGAAAAUAGAAAAAAGAGGGAGUAAGCAUAAGGCUUAGUAAGUUACAAGUAAAUAAUCAACAUUGCGUUACCGAGUAACAUCAUACUCAUAACAUAUCAUACACUUGCACAAGAUUCUUGAAUGACUAUAGACAUGACUUACUCAUUUCAUCCUUACUAUUCAUAUAGAUAACCCGACCCAUUCUUAUGAGUUUUGUGUAGGUACCUAUACCACUUACAACAUAAUCAUAACUUUUCUCAAUCAUGAUAUAAUCUUUAAAUUACAUGUUGAGCCGGUUCAAAUAGUAAAUGGAUACCCGAUAAGCCUCAUACAAAAGGGUAAGAUGCCGAUGCCAUGUCCCAAACAUGGUCUUACACUAGCCCACAUGUAGAGGCCGAUGCCAUGUCCUAAACAUGGUCUUACACUAGCUCACCUAUCAAUGCUGAUGCCAUGUUCCAAACAUGGUCUUACACUGGCUCACAUAUCGAGGCUGAUGCCAUGUCCCAAACAUAGUCUUACACUAGCUCUCAUAUCAAUGCCAAAGCCAUGUUCCAAACAUGGUCUUACACUGGCUCACAUAUCGAGACCGAUGCCAUGUCCCAGACAUGUUCUUACACUAUCUCUCCUCUCAAUGUUGAUGCUAUGUUCCAAAUAUGGUCUUACACUGGCUCACAUAUCGAGGCCGAUGCCAUGUCCCAAACAUGGUCUUACACUAGCUCUCAUAUCAAUAUCGAUGUCAUGUUCCAAAUAUGGUCUUACACUGGCUCACAUAUCGAGGCCGAUGCCAUGUCCCGAACAUGGUCUUACACUGGCUCACAUAACCCUAGUAUCACGGCAUGGAUAUUCGAUCUAUUCCUACUGUUCAACAGGGAGUCUCACCACAUCAAAUUUCGUCAUGUAUAUUCGUAACAAAAUCAAGCAUUUCAUUCAAUGUCAAUAAUUUAAUGCAUAAUAACAAUAGUGUUGUACUAUUUACGUGCAGUUUACCUCGGUAUACAAAAAGUAGGCGACUAAUUGGAUUUAGUCUACUAGCUUGGCCUUCCCCCGAUCUAGGCCCGGAUUCGUAUUUCUUGGUCUAAAAUGAUAAAAAUUCACUAAUUUAAUAAUCAUAUUAAUCAAUGCAUUUCAUAAUUCAUAUUUUGGCAAAAUAAUCGUUUUGCCCCUAGACUUUUACAAAAUUAUGAUUUUACCCCUAGGCUCGUAAAUCGAUUUUUAUCAAAUUUCCUAUUUAUUCAAACCUAGGAGAACCUUUUAUUACACUUAUGGCAUCUCACAAUUUCGAUUAUUUCACACAAUUACUACCUAUUUUAUAACCUUUACAAAGAGGUCCAUUUUAGGUGUUUUUCAUGAACACCACUUCACAAGAGUUACUUAUUUCAUAACUAUAACUCAUUUUCUUCCAUAAAGUUUUAGUUUAUAACAUAAAUACUUUCAUGGCAAAACCCUAAACUCUCAACCAUUCCAUUAGCUAAAUUAAGCUACAAGGGUCCCAAAAGUACAAAAAUUAUCAAGAAAAGUCAUCAAAAUCGCUUACUUAUGAGAGAACUUAAUGGUUGAAAGCUUCAAGCUUUAAAUACCCUUUUCUUACUGAUAUUUUCGGUGGAGAAGAUGAAUGGUAAAAAUAUGGAGCCCUUUUGUUUUAUUUUAUCUUAUUUCUAGUCAAAAUAGCUCCAACUUCACCUAAUUUUGAAUUUUCUAUUCUUCUUUGUCUCUAUGGUCGGCCACCCCUAUUGAAAUGGGUCUAUUUGCCCUUUAAUGACUCCUAAUUAUGAUUCUCUAGUUAUUUAACACCAUUUGCUAGAAAAACAAAACUUUUGCCCUUUAUGCGAUUUAGUUCUUUUUGCAAUUAAGCUCACAAUCGCUAAAAUUAAUUCAUCUAAAUUUUCAUACAUCCAUGUAAACGUGCAAUAACACAUAAAAUACUAUUAAAAAUAAUUUUUCCAACCUCGAAUUAGUGGUUCCAAAACCACUGUUCCGACUAGGCCCAAAAUCGAGCUGUUACAAUUCUCCCCCUUAGGGAUUUUCGUCCCCAAAAAUUUUACCGUUAAAAAAGUUUAGGUAUUGGUAUCUCAUGGUCUCGUCGGGCUCUCAUGUGGCCUCUUCUGUCCUAUUUCUAUGCCAUAAUACCUUUACAAGUGCUAUACUGUUAUUCCUCAAUUGUUUAACCUCCCGAGCUAAAAUCUUAACCGGUUCUUCGCCAUAAGUCAUAUCUAACCGAAUCUCAAUCUCUGUUGGCGAAAGAACAUGCGAAGGGUCAGAACGGUAACGGCGCAACAUCGAGAUAUGAAAAACAUUGUGGAUCUUCUCUAACUCGGAUGGCAACACUAGUCGAUAAGUUACCGGUUCAAUUCUCUUAGUCACCUCAUAAGGUCCAAUAAAACGUGGACUUAAUUUUCUUUUCUUACCGAAUCUAAGGACUUUCUUCCACGGGGAUACUUUGAUUGUCACCGACUUGAAACUCAAUUUCUUUUCGUUUCAAAUCCGCGUAGGAUUUCCAUCUAUCAGAAGCGGCCUUCAAACAAUCACGAAUUACCUUUACUUUCUCUUCGGUCUCUUUGACUAAGUCAACCCCGUGAAUCUGAUUUUCUUUGAGUUCGGUCCAAAACAAAGGCGUUUGGCACUUACACCUGUAUAAAGCCUCAUAAGGCGCCAUUUUCAAACUCAACUGAUAGCUAUUGUUGUAGGCAAACUUUGCCAGUGGUAAAUACUUGUCCCAACUUCCUUGGAAUUUAAGGACACAACACCGCAACAUGUGUUCAAGAAUCUGAAUUACUCUUUUCGACUAACCGUCGAUUUACGGAUGGAAAACCGUGCUAAAAUUCAACUUUGUCCCCAAAGCUUCUUGUAACUUUUUCCAAAAUCGCGAGGUGAAUCUCGGAUCCCUAUCCAAAAUAAUCGACAAAGGUACUCCAUGAAGUCUCACAAUCUCAGAAAUAUACAACUCAACUAGCUUAUCGAGUGAGUACUCGGUACGUACUGGAAUAAAGUGAGCUGAUUUCGUUAAUUGAUCAACUAUGACCCAAACAACAUCUUUCUUUCUUGGUGAAAACGACAAUCCCAUCACAAAAUCCAUGGUAAUUCGAUCCCAUUUCCACUCGGAAACCAUCACAAGCUGAAGUAAACCCGAAGGUACUUGGUGUUCGACUUUCACUUGAUGACAAAUUAAACAUUUCGACAUAAAUUCUGAUAUGUCUCUUUUCAUACCCGGCCACCAAUACAAUCUCUUCAAGUCAUUAUACAUCUUCGUACUACCCAGAUAGAUUAACAUACAACUACUAUGUGCCUCGUGAAGAAUUUUCCCAAUAAGCUCAUCAUCUGGAACAUCAAACAACCAUCGAAACCAAUCUGAAAAUCUGAUUUAAUACCGACUCACAUUGAGCUCUCUUGGAUGUAUGUCACUGUUUUGAGCUUCACAGAUCUCUUGGAGAAAGGUUGAUCUAGCUCUCAACUCCGCUAGUAUCGAACCAUCAUCGGACACAGUCAACUGAGUAUUCAUAGGUCUCAAGGCAAAUAAGGAUUUCCUACUCAAGGCAUCGGCGACAACGUUCGCCUUCCCCGGGUGAUCGUCGAUCACCAGCUCGUAAUCUUUUAUGAGCUCUAGCCAUCUCCAUUGGCGAAGGUUUAAUUCUUUUUGAUUCAUCAAAUACUUUAGACUUUUAUGGUCGGUGAAUACUCGGUGUCUCUCACCAUACAAGUGGUGUAUCUAAAUCUUCAGUGCAAACACUAUGGCUGUUAACUCUAAGUCGUGUGUCGGAUAAUUUUUCUCAUGCGUCUUCAGUUGUCUCGAGGCAUAUGCUAUUACCUUGCCUUCUUGCAUAAGCAUGCAUCAAUCCAUUUAAAGAUGCAUCGCUAUACAUUACAAAUUCUUUUCCUAGUUUCGUUUGCACUAAAAUUGGGGUUUCAGUCAACAACUCCUUAAGUUUCUCGAAACUCUAUUGGCAUUUUUCCGUCCAAUCGAGCUUGACAUCUUUCUGUAGCAACCUCAUUAUUGGAGUAGCAAUCAUGGAGAAUCCUUUAAUGAAUCGUCUGUAGUAACCCGCUAAGCAUAGAAAGCUUCUAAUUUCCGACACAUCCCUCGGUGGUUUUCACUCAACAAUAGCUGAGAUCUUAUUCGGGUCAACUCUAAUUCCAUCACCAGACACGAUGUGUCCUAAGAAUCCGACCUCUCGGAGCUAAAAAUCACUUUUACCAAACUUGGCAUACAACUGCUUAUCUCUUAAAGUCUGCAAAAUAGUUCUCAAAUGCUCCGCAUGUUCACUCUCAUCACGAGAAUAGAUUAAUAUAUCAUCGAUAAAAACAAUAGCGAACUUAUCCAAGUACGGUCAGAGAAUACGUUCAUUAAGUCUAUAAACAUGACGGGAGCAUUUGUUGAGCCAAAGGGCAUGACAAGAAGCUUAUAGUGCCCGUACCUCGUCCGAAAUGCGGUUUUCGGUACAUUUUGCUCUUUAACUCUUAGCUGGUAAUAACCAGAUCUUAAGUCUAUCCUAGAAAACAUUGUGGCUCCUUUCAAUUGGUCAAACAGAUCAUCGAUACUUGGCAAAGGAUACUUGUUCUUCACAAUCACCUUGUUAAGCUGUCUGUAGUCUAUACAUAACCUCAUUGACCCAUCUUUCUUUUUCACAAAAAGUACCGGAGCACCUCACAGAGAAUAGCUCGGUCUCGCAAAAUCCUUAUCCGUUAACUCUUGUAGCUGAGCCUUCAACUCUUUUAACUCUAACGAUGCCAUCCUAUAUAGGGCAAUCAAUAUAGGCGUAGUACCAGGGACUAACUCGAUACCAAACACGACUUCCCUAGUUGGAGGCAGUCCGGGUAACUCUUCCGGAAACACAUCCGAAAACUCACCCGGAAACUCACAUACCACUGGAACUGACUCAAUCUUUACUUCUGACACUUUGGUAUUCAACACAAAUGCGAGAUAAGACUCAUACCCUUUUCUCAUAUAUUUCUUAGUCAUCAUUGAAGAAAUCACUCUAGAUAAGCUACCCGGUUCACCUGAUUCAGCUCGAAGAAUAUCCCCAUUUUCACAUUUCAAUUCAAUGAAUUUCUUUUCACAAUUUACUAUAACAUCAUGGGUAGACAACUAAUCCAUACCAAGGAUAACGUCAAAUUCAUCAAACGGCAAUAACAUGAGGUUAGCCGAGAAACAAUGACCUCUAAUUGUCAAGGGACAAUUUCUACAUACAUGGUCAACUAAUACAUACUUGUCUAAUGGGUUCAAAACCUUUACCACAAAUUUUAUAGACUCAACAGACAUAUUCAGGCUAGACACUAGUUUCACACAAGUAUACGAAUGGGUAGACCUCGAAUCAAUCAAAGUAAUAACAGAAAUAUCAUGAAAAGAAAAGGUACCCGUAAUCACAUUUGGAGACGAUGCUUUUUCGCGAGCGCAAAAGGCAUAAGUCCUUGCAGGUACCCAGCCCUCGGACCUCACAGUGGAAUCUCUAGGCGCACUUCAGUUGCUAGCGCCACUUUCAGGGCUCUUUUGUGGUCUUGUAACACCCUUAACCCGUACCCGUCGCCGGAGGGUUAAAGAGUAUUACCAUACAAGCAUGAAAUUCCAGAUAACUUUAUUUGAAUAACUUCCGUUGGCACACCUAUAAAAGAGUCAUCUCCAGGUAAUGGGUAUAUUGAAUCAUUCUUAAGUUCGAUUCACCUCAAACAUUGAAAACAUUAAUCGAAUAUCAACCAGAUAUUUACAUUAACUAUGUGGAAUACAUAUAGUAACUUAACAUGCCAUUUUCGCAUGGCUAUACAUAUAUACAUCAUUAAAAAGAUACAUAUUUAACAACAAAAAGUCAAGCCUAUACAUGCCAUUAUCAAAGUUUAACUACUAGAGUACCGAAUGAGCUUAGAUAGUGUGGAUGACUUCGACUUUGAGAUCCUCGAGACCGUAGCUAACGAACGAAAUCUAUAAAACAGAGAAUUAAGGGCAACAGAGUAAGCAUUUCUAUGCUUAGUAAGUUUUAAGCAUUUAAAACAAUUAAAAAACUUGUCAUUAAAAUCGAACAUUAAGCAUCACAAAAUUCAUAUUCAAAUUGUAAAUCAUUUAGCCGAUUAUACAUAAGAACACUAGUUAUAAUACCUAUUGGCCGAAUAUAUAUAUGAAUACUCAAGAGAUUUCCAGCACAUAUUUCACUAUACUAUUUGGCUCAUACAAUUAAAUUUAGGCAUAUACUUUCAUAUAACGAUGGUCGUCGACCGAAUAGGCCAUUCUCUUAUUCAUAGAUACGGUAAUCAUCCACACAUAUAUAUUUAUAUAUAUAUCAUUCAUUGAUAAUAAUAAUUCGCUUUAAAAAUCAAUUUACGUAUGAGAACAUAAUACGUACCUGGCCAUCUUAAUGUAUCAUACAUAAUCAAUAGUGGUUUCCUCAAAUAUUCGGAUUCAUAAUCUUACUCGAAUCACCGGCGUUAAGCUUGCUAGGUUUUAAAACCCGAAUCCAGUUACUAGCACAAAGCCUGUGGGACUUUAGGCUCGGAUAUAUUCUAGCACGUAGCCUGCGGACCUCAAGUCCGGAUAUGUUUCCAACAUGUAGCCUGCGGACCUCAACUCCGGAUAUGUUUCCAGCACGUAGCUUGUGGACCUCAAGUCCGGAUAUGUUUCCAAUUAUCAUGCAUUCUUAGUCAUAUUUGAACAUAUCUCAUUCGACUUAUCACUUUAGUAGUCAUUUGCAACAUUCAGAUAUAAGUUAAAUAUGCAUAUCAUCAUUCACUAUUCGGCUCAAGAGUCAUACAUAAUAUCACAUAUUUAUUUCACCAUUCAAGCUUAAACCCAAAGUGGCCAUUAGACUAUAAGUCAUAUACAUGAAUUAUUCAUCUCACAACCUAAUUUAAGUACAAACCAAAAGAUCGCAAUUCACCUAAUAUACUCGUAUAGAGGCAUCAUCAAUUAUAUAAUAAAGGAGACUACUCAAAACUUACCUCGGUUAUAUUUGAACAGUUACGGAUAGACUACUCGAUUGCUUUCUCUUUUCCCCUAUCUGAUUUCGACCCUUUUUGCUCUUGAGCUUGAUUUAAAACAAAUAGAUUUAUUCAAUUACUUAUCAAUUAAGCAAUUUAAGUUAAUACCUGUAUAUCAUAUAUUUAAGGUACAAAUGACCUUACUAACUAGCUAUUUAAACAUCAUACAUAUGCCCUAUUCAUUCACAAUCGAACAUAUUACUAGGCUACAAUCAACAACUACAUUUAUCCCCAUAUAAUAGAUUAAAACUAUCAAGGAACAUUUUACUAACUUAUUACCUUGCAUAUUCUAAUUUCAUAAACUAAUUUACGAAUUUCAUAAACUAAUUUACUAAAUCAAUGUAUAAUAAAUUUUAACUUAACAAUUCCAUAACCACACAUGAUGAUCAUAUCUACCAUUUUGGCCGAAUACUUAUAAGAUUAGCAUUUUGUAAGUUUUCAUACCACUUCCAAAGCCAAAUAUCAUUAUAAAUUAAAAUAUACUUUCACACAUCUAUACAAGCUUACAAAACCACAUUUGACUUCAUAUACCAUCAUCACUUAUUUAGCAGAAUAUGCAAGAUCAAACAUAUCUUUACAAAUAUAUAUAUAUACCUAUGUGGCCGAAUUUACAAGUUCAAUUGGAACACCACAUAAUUACUUACUUAUAUGACCGGAUAUACCAAAUUCAUUACAUCAUUACAUAAGUACAUACCUAUAAGACCGAAUAUACAAGGCUCAAUAUAUCAUCACAUAUGGCUAGUUAUUACUAAACUAAAGCCACCAUAUUUUUAUCCCUUAAGUCACACCCAAAAAUUACAUUCGGCAUUUCUCAUCCAAAAUUUUACAAAUCUUCAAAAUCACUUACAAGCUCAUUUAUAAAACAUAUAAAGCAUUAAAAUAAUUUUUUAUCAAAAAUCUAGCAUGACCGAUUACCUAUUUUUCUCCCAAAAUCCAAAUUCGGCAUACCCUAUAAACCAAAUACUAGCAUCAACUUUUAAGCUAAAAUAACAAGCAACUUAGCACAUUAAACAUAACUAACAUCUUCCCAAAAACUUAUCAAAAUAACACAAAAUUUAGCACUUGCCGAAUGGACACUUGUUCAUUGAUUCAUAAAUUUAAACCAUGGGUUAGCUAUGCUAUGUAUUUAUCAAUUUAAUUUCACAAUCAAUUUCAAAGAAAAUUUACAUUACAUACCUUUAAAUGGAGAUAACCAUGGCCGAAUUCCUUGGCUUCUUCUUCAAAAAUUUUCUUUCUCAAAUUCGGCAAAAUGAAAAAAGAAGAUGAACAUCCAUUAUUUUAUUUUAUUCAUCUAUAUUAUUAAACAUAAAGCCAUUUAACUAAUAAUUAAUACAUAUUUUAGUAUAAAAGUAUCAUCAUGGCCGGCCACUAUAAAAAAAAUGGAUAUUUGACAUGCAAGCCCAACCUUUUUAUAACAUGCUUUAAUAGGCCACUUUUAAAUUUACCUAUCACAUUUCAAAAUUUUCUCACAUAAGUCCUAUUUAAUAAAUUUCACAUACAAAUGACAAAAUUAAAGCAUGAAACUUUCACACAUGCAUGUACACAUACAAUAAGCAUAGAAUAUAAUGGUUAAUUAUUUUUAUGACUCGAUUUUAUGGUCCCGAAACCACUUUCCGACUAAGGUCAAAUUAGGGCUGUCACAACUCUCCCCCACAUAAAGAAUUUUCGUCCCCGAAAAUCUUACCGGUGAAUAAGUUAGGAUAUCGAUCCUUCAUAGAGUCUUCCUGUUCCCAAAUAGCUUCUUCAACCCCAUGUUUAAUCCACAGUACCUUCACUAAUGAGAUUUUAUUAUUUUGUAGUUCUUUUACUUCACGAGCCAAAAUACGAACUAGUUCUUCUUCAUAGCUCAAAUCGGAAUGAAUCUCAACCUCAGAUGGAUUAAUUAUAUGCGAUGGAUCGGAUCUAUAACGUCGAAGCAUCGAAACAUGAAAACAUUGUGAAUCUUUUCAAGCUCAGGGGGUAAAAUCAAUCUGUACGCAAUCGGCCCAACUCGUUCGGAUAUUUCAUACGGCCCGAUGAACCUCGGACUCAAUUUGCCCUUACGACCAAAUCUGAGCACCUUUUUCCAAGGGGAAACCUUAAGAAACACUUUGUCUCCGACCUGAUAUUCAAUGUCUUUUCGUUUUAAAUCCGCAUACGACUUCUGACGAUCUGAAGCUGCUUUCAGACUUUCAUGGAUCACUUUUACUUUUUGCUCAGCAUCUUUAAUCAAAUCAAGCCCGAAGAUUUUAUUUUCACUAAGCGCGGUCCAAAACAACGGUGUACGGCAUUUACGACCGUACAACGCCUCGUAAGGUGCCAUCUUAAUGCUUGAUUGAAAACUAUUUUUGUAAGCGAAUUCAAUCAAAGACAAAUACUGUUCCCAUGAACCACUAAACUCAAGGAUGCAACAUCUCAAUAUAUCCUCGAGUAUCUGAAUGAUCCGCUCGGAUUGACCAUCAGUCUGGGGAUGAAAAGCGGUGCUAAAAUGCAACUUGGUACCCAAUGCUUCUUGUAAUUUCUUCCAGAAUCGCGAUGUGAAUCUCGGAUCUCUAUCCGACACAAUAGAAAUAGGUACCCCGUGUAACCUCACAAUCUGAGAAACAUACAACUCGGCUAACUUGUCAAGUGAAUAAUCCGUACGUACGGGAAUAAAAUAAGCCGACUUUGUCAAUCUAUCAACAACAACCCAGAUCGCAUCUUUCUUGCUUGAUGAUAAUGGCAACCCAGAUACAAAAUCCAUCGUGACUCGAUCCCAUUUCCAUUCAGGUAUCAUGAUCGGCUGAAGUAAUCCCGAAGGCACUUGAUGUUCUGAUUUCACUUGUUGACAUAUCAAACACUUUGAAACAAAGUCAGAAAUGUCUCGUUUCAUACCAGACCACCAAAAUUGAUGUUUCAGAUCGUUGUACAUUUUCGUGCUACCAAGAUGGACCGAAAUUCAGCCAUUAUGAGCUUCAUUCAAAAUCAUCGAAAUAAGUUCUGAUUUUCUUGGAACACACAAUCGACUUCUGAACCUCAAACAAUCAUUGUCAUCAAUUUGAAACUCUAAAUCCACAUUCGAAACACAUUCAGCUCGUUUAGUAACCAAUUCAUCAUCGACUUUCUGAGUUUCACAUAUUUGAUGAAUGAAUAAUUUGGCUUUUAAUUCUGCUACUAACACAUUAUCGGAUGAAACGGACAAGUGUACAUUCAUCGAUCGCAAAGCAAACAGUGACUUGCCACUUAAAGCAUCGGCAACCACGUUAGCCUUUCCCGGGUGAUAGUCAAUGACGAGCUCAUAAUCUUUCAACAAUUCAAGCCAACGUCUUUGUCGCAGAUUCAAAUCUCUUUGAGUCAUCAAAUAUUUAAGGCUUUUAUGAUCCGAAUAUACAUGACAUCUCUCUCUAAACAAGUAAUGUCGCCAUAUUUUCAAAGCAAAUACGAUGGCAGCUAAUUCAAGGUCAUGGGUCGGAUAGUUUUUUUCAUGUGGCUUCAAUUGCAUCGACGCGUAAGCUACAACUCGACCCUCUUGCAUCAAUACACAACCCAGCCCAUGUAAGGAUGCAUCACUGUAAAUGACAAACUCUUUACCGGAUUCGGGCUGCACUAACACUAGAGCUUCAGUCAAAUAAGUUUUCAGUUGGUCGAAACUUUUCUGGCACUUUUCUGACGAUUCGAACUUAAUAUCUUUCUGAAGUAGCUUCGUCAUUGGUGUGGCUAUCAUCAAGAAACCUUUUACAAACCGUCUGUAGUAACCGGCAAGUCCCAAAAAGCUCCGAACUUCAGUAACAUUUCUCGGGGGCUUCCAAUCGAGUAUGGCCAAAAUUUUGCUCGGAUCAACUCGAAUACCCGAUGCGGAUACCACAUGUCCCAAAAAGCUAACUUCUCUCAACCAGAACUCAUAUUUACUGAAUUUCCCGUAUAACUGCUUGUCUCGUAAAAUCUGUAAUACUAAUUUCAGGUGCUCGGCAUGUUCAGCUUCAUCGCGCGAAUAAAUCAAGAUGUCAUCUAUAAACACCACUACAAACCGGUCUAAAUACUAUCUAAAGAUUCGAUUCAUCUAGUCCAUAAAUACCGCAGGGGCAUCAGUGAGCACAAACGGCAUCACUAAGAACUCGUAGUGACCAUAUCUCAUUCUGAAAGCAAUUUUAGGUAUAUCUGAGUCUCGAACUCGCAACUGAUAAUAACCCGAUCUCAAAUCUAUCUUUGAAAACACAGAUGCUCCCUUCAACUGAUCAAACAAAUCAUCAAUACGCGGUAACGGAUAUUUGUUCUUUAUUGUCACUUUAUUUAAUUGACGAUAGUCGAUGCACAUUCUCAUGGUUUUAUCUUUCUUUUUUACAAACAAUACUGGUGCACCCCAAGGUGAGAAACUCGGUCGAGCGAAACCUCUAUCCGUCAACUUUUGCAAUAGAGUUUUCAAUUCCUUCAAUUCCGUUAGUGCCAUACGAUACGGAGCCAUCGAAAUUGGUGUAGUCCCAGGUAUAAGUUCAAUGCCAAGUUCUACCUCCCAAACAGGUGGCAACCCCGGUAAUUCCUCGGGAAAAACAUCCGGAUACUCACAAACCACUGGUACUGAUUCAAGCUUCUUUUCUGAUUCUUUACUAUCAAGUACGUACGCAAGAUAUGCUUCACACCCCUUUUUUACAUAUUUCUGAGCCAACAUCGAGGAUAUUACUGCUGGUAAUCCGUUCAAAUCAGUAGACUCUAUUCGGAUUAUCUCAUCAUUUGCACAUCUCAAAUCAAUAGUCUUUCUUUUGCAAUUCACAACUGCAUCAUGUACGAUCAACCAAUCCAUACCAAGAAUAACAUCAAAUUUAUUAAAUGGUAAAAACAUCAAAUCGGCCGGAAAACAGGAACCUCGAAUUAUCAAGGGAUAUUUCUUGCACACUUUAUCGACUAGCACAUAUCGAUCCAAGGGAUUUGACACUCGGAUCACGAACUCAGUAGACUCAACAGGUAGAGUCUUACUGGAUGCUAAAGUCUCACAUACAUAUGAAUGAGUAGAACCAGGGUCAAUCAAAGCAAUCACAUCAGUAUCAAAGAGAGUGAAUGUACUGGUAAUAACAUCAAGCAAAGAAGUAUCCUCGUGUACGCGAAUAGCAUAAGCUCUAGCAGAGGCACGAGCCUCGGAUCUGGUCGUAGCAUCUCUAGACCCUCUCUGACCUUCACUAGCAUUCCCUGUAUUCCUAGGUGGUCUACCUCGAACUGUAGGAGUACUCGGUCUCCCACUCUGAUUUACAUUUUGCUCUGACAAUCUCGGGCAGUCUUUGAUGAAGUGGUCGGAUGAUCCACAUCUAUAACAAGAGCGAUCAUGAAAUCUACAACUCUCUCAAUGCCAUUUUCCACAAAACUUACACUCGGUCCUAUCCCGACGAUCAUUUCCAACACUGGCAACUGAAGUGGCUCUCGUACUCAUAGGAGAUCGAUCACGGUCUCGUCUGGAAAAGCCCGAAGUGUUCUUAGAUCAGCCCGAGUCCUCUCAAAAUUUCUUAGAUGAUUGCUGAAAAGGCUUUCCCGAAGAUCUUUUACGAAACUCUCCAGCUCCAACAUCAGCUUUCCUUUUUUCUUUACUAAGCUCCUCGGCUUUGCAAGCUCGCUCAACAAGUACUACGAACUCUCUGAUUUCGAGAAUGCCAAAAAACAUUUUAAUAUCUUCAUUUAACCUGUCCUCGAAGCGUUUACACAUAAUAGCCUCAGACGAUACACAUUCCCGAGCAUAUCUACUAAGUCUGACGAACUUUCGUUCAUAAUCAGUAACUAACAUGGAACCCUGUUUAAGUUCAAGAAAUUCUUUUCGUUUCUGAUCGAUGAACCUCUGACUGAUAUACUUUUUUCAGAAUUCAGUUUGGAAGAACUCCCGCGUCACCCGCUCUCUGGGUACAAUAGAAACCAAUGUAUUCCACCAGUAAUAGGAAGAAUCACGUAGCAAGGAUAUAGCACAUUUCAAGCAUUCAUCGGGUGUGCAAGAUAGUUCAUCAAGUACCCGAAUAGUGUUGUCCAACCAAAAUUCAGCUUGCUCGGCAUCAUCACUGUCGGUAGCUUUAAAUUCAGUAGCCUCGUGCUUUCAAAUUCUGUCAACCAGGGGCUUAUUCAACCUCAUUUGAUCCCUUACCGGAGGCAUCAUGGGUGCAGGGGGCGUAUUAUUCGGGAGUGGGGGUUGUGGAGCAGUCAUAUUAGUUCGAAUGUAUUGGUUGAACCAAUCAUUCAUCACACUAUAAAAAGCCUAUCUAGCCUCAUCGUUUUGAUUGCUCGCAAUAGGUUGAGAGUCCAUCGGCGCUGUCCUAUGCGCGGGAGCAGGCGCUACACUCUCAAUAUUAUCAGCUACCGCUCGAUUGGGAUCGGGAUCCAUUACUAUACGAAAAUACAUUUUUAACUUUCAGAAAUCGUCACACUAUCGUUUAACACCAUAUGGCAUGUAUAGCUAGACUCAUACAUGCUACGUUAGUCCUAGAAUUGACUAAACCGUAACUCUGAUACCAAUAGAAUGUAACACAUUUAACCCGUACCUGUCGCCGGAGGGUUAAAGAGUAUUACCAUACAAGCAUGAAAUUUCAGAUAACUUUAUUUGAAUAACUUCCGUUGGCACACCUAUAAAAGAGUCAUCUCCAGGUAAUGGGUAUAUUGAUUCAUUCUUAAGUUCGAUUCACCUCAAACAUUGAAAACAUUAAUCGAAUAUCAACCACAUAUUCACAUUAACUAUGUGGAAUACAUAUAGUAAAUUAACAAGCCAUUUUCGCAUGGCUAUACAUAUAUACAUCAUUAAAAAGAUACAUAUUUAACAACAAAAAGUCAAGCCUAUACAUGCCAUUAUCAAAUUUUAACUACUAGAGUACCGAAUGGGCUUAGAUAGUGUGGACGACUUCGACUGUGAGAUCCUCGAGACCGUAGCUAACAAACGAGAUCUAUAAAACAGAGAAUUAAGAGCAACAGAGUAAGCAUUUCUAUGCUUAGUAAGUUUUAAGCAUUUAAAACAAUUAAAAAACUUGUCAUUAAAAUCGAACAUUAAGCAUCACAAAAUUCGUAUUCAAAUUGUAAAUCAUUUAGCCGAUUAUACAUAAGUACACUAGUUAUAAGACCUAUUGGCCGAAUAUAUAUAUGAAUACUCAAGAGAUUUCCAGCACAUAUUUCACUAUACUAUUUGGCUCAUACAAUUAAAUUUAGGCAUAUACUUUCAUAUAACGAUGGUCGUCGACCGAAUAGGCCAUUCUCUUAUUCGUAGAUACGAUAAUCAUCCACACAUAUAUAUUUAUAUAUAUAUCAUUCAUUGAUAAUAAUAAUUCGCUUUAAAAAUCAAUUUACGUAUGAGAACAUAAUACGUACCUGGCCAUCUUAAUGUAUCAUACAUAAUCAAUAGUGGUUUCCUCGAAUAUUCGGAUUCAUAAUCUUACUCGAAUCACCGGCGUUAAGCUUGCUAGGUUUUAAAACCCGAAUCUAGCUACUAGCACAAAGCCUGCGGGACUUUAGGACCGGAUAUAUUCCAGCAUGUAACCUGCAAACCUCAAGUCCGGAUAUGUUUCUAGCACGUAGCCUGCGGACCUCAAGUCCGGAUAUGUUUCCAGCACGUAGCCUGUGGACCUCAAGUCCGGAUAUGUUUCCAAUUAUCAUGCAUUCUUAGUCAUAUUUGAACACAUCUCAUUCGACUUAUCACUUUAGUAGUCAUUUGCUAUAUUCGGAUAUAAGCUAAAUAUGUAUAUCAUCAUUCACUAUUCGGCUCAAGAGUCAUACAUAAUAUCACAUAUUUAUUUCACCAUUCAAGCUUAAACCCAAAGUGACCAUUAGACUAUAAGUCAUAUACAUGAAUUAUUUAUCUCACAACCUAAUUUAAGUACAAACCAAAAGAUCGCAAUUCACCUAGUAUACUCGUAUAGAGGCAUCAUCAAUUAUAUAAUAAAGGAGGCUACUCAAAACUUACCUCGGAUAUGUUUGAACAGUUAUGGAUAGACUACUCGAUUGCUUUCUAUUUUCCCCUAUCUGAUUUCGACCCUUUUUGCUCUUGAGCUUGAUUUAAAACAAAUAGAUUUAUUCAAUUACUUAUCAAUUAAGCAAUUUAAUUUAAUACCUGUAUAUCAUAUAUUUAAGGUACAAAUGACCUUACUAACUAGCUAUUUAAACAUCAUACAUAUGCCCUACUCAUGCACAAACGAACAUAUUACUAGGCUACAAUCAACAACUACAUUUAUCCCUAUAUAAUAGAUUAAAACUAUCAAGGAACAUUUUACUAACUUAUUACCUUGCAUAUUCUAAUUUCAUAAACUAAUUUAUGAAUUUCAUAAACUAAUUUACUAAAUCAAUGUAUAAUAAAUUUUAACUUAACAAUUCUAUAACCACACAUGAUUAUCAUAUCUACCAUUUUGGCCGAAUACUUAUAAGAUUAGCAUUUUGUAAGUUUUCAUACCACUUCCAAAGCCAAAUAUCAUUAUAAAUUAAAAUAUACUUUCACACAUCUAUACAAGCUUACAAAACCACAUUUGAAUUCAUAUACCAUCAUCACUUAUUUAGCAGAAUAUACAAGAUCAAACAUAUCUUUACAAAUAUAUAUAUACCUAUGUGUCCGAAUUUACAAGUUCAAUUGGAACACCACAUAAAUACUUACCUAUAUGAUCGGAUAUACCAAAUUCAUUAUAUCAUUACAUAAGUACAUACCUAUAAGACCGAAUAUACAAGGCUCAAUAUAUCAUCACAUAUGGCUAGUUAUUACUAAACUAAAGCCACCAUAUUUUUAUCCCUUAAGUCACACCCAAAAAUUACAUUCGGCAUUUCUCAUCCAAAAUUUUACAAAUCUUCAAAAUCACUUACAAGCUCAUUUAUAAAACAUAUAAAGCAUUAAAAUAAUUUUUUAUCAAAAAUCUAGCAUGACCGAUUACCUAUUUUUCUCCCAAAAUCCAAAUUCGGCAUACCCUAUAAACCAAAUACUAGCCUCAACUUUUAAGCUAAAAUAACAAGCAACUUAACACAUUAAACAUUAGUAACAUCUUCCCAAAAACUUAUCAAAAUAACACAAAAUUUAGCACUUGCCGAAUGGACACUUGUUCAUUGAUUCAUAAAUUUAAACCAUGGGUUAGCUAUGCUAUGUAUGUAUCAAUUUAAUUUCACAAUCAAUUUCAAAGCAAAUUUACAUUACAUACCUUUAAAUGGAGAUAACCAUCGCCGAAUGCCUUGGCUUCUUCUUCAAAAAUUUUCUUUCUCAAAUUCGGCAAAAUGAAGAAAGAAGAUGAACAUCCAUUAUUUUAUUUUAUUCAUCUAUAUUAUUAAACAUAAAGCCAUUUAGCUAAUAAUUAAUACAUAUUUUAAUAUAAAAGUAUCAUCAUGGCCGGCCACUAUAAACAAAAUGGAUAUUUGACAUGCAAGCCCAACCUUUUUAUAACAUGCUUUAAUAGGCCACUUUUAAAUUUACCUAUCACAUUUCAAAAUUUUCUCACAUAAGUCCUAUUUAAUAAAUUUCACAUACAAAUGACAAAAUUAAAGCUUGAAACUUUCACACAUGCAUGUACACAUACAAUAACCAUAGAAUAUAACGGUUAAUUACUUUUAUGACUCGAUUUUGUGGUCCUGAAACCACUUUCCGACUAAGGGCAAAUUAGGGUUGUCACAGGUCUACCCCUCGAAGGGGCAUUACUUGUUCUCACAUCUUGUUUUUUGUCUUUAUCAUCCAUUUCAGAACAAUUCUGGAUGAAAUAGUCUAAUGAACCACACUUGAAACAACCUCUAUCAUUUCCUCGGCACUCACCGAAAUGAUGCCUACCACACUGCGAACACUUCGACUUAUUUGGCUGAGCACUACCAACACUCGCGAUAGAAGUGGUUUGAGCUUUAGAAGCCAUGUACUACUUUUUCUUACUUCUACUCAAGAAUCCCAAUGAAUCAUUCGAUUAAGUAGGAAACUUUCUCAACCUCUUAGACGAGGUCUGAUGUGAUUUAUCCAUCUGUAUUUUCUUAAGUCACGAGACUCCGUAUCAGCUUUUCUCUUCUCUUUUGCCAAUUCUUCUGCCUUGCAAGCUCUUUCAACAAGCAUCACAAAUUCCCUUAAAUCUAAGAUGCCAACUAAUAAUCGAAUGUCUUUGUUCAAUUCGUCUUCAAAUCUCUUGCACAUGAUAGCUUCGGUAGAUACGCACUCCCUAGUGUAUUUGUUGAGCCUCACAAACUCACAUUCAUGCUCUGUCAUUAUCAUUCGGCCUUGCUUUAAUUCUAAAAAUUCCUUCCUCUUCUGAUCUAUAAACUUCUGACUAAUAUAAUUCUUUCGAAAUUCCUUUUGGAAAAAAUCCAAUGUAAUCCUUUCCCUUGGUACAACUGACACAAGGGUGUUCCACUACUAGUAGGCCGAGUCUCGCAAGAGUGACACAACACACUUCAUGCACCCUUCAGGUGUGCAAGACAAUUCAUCGAAUACCUUAAUGGUAUUUUCUAGCUAGAACCCUGCCCUCUCUAGGUCAUCAUCUAUAUUUGCUCUAAAUUCCUCGACUCAUUACUUUUGAAUUGUGUCAAUCAGAUGUUUCUCCCUUCUAAUAAUCUCUAGGCUUGAGGAGCUAUGGGGGCAGGCUGGGGGAUUGGAGGGGGUGGACGACAUGGAGUGUUCGGGUUUGCACGAACAAACUCCGAAUACCAUGCGUUCAUAUGUGGAGAUAGGCUUCUUUAGCCCCUCUGUCCUGACUAAAUGUCACGGGCCCACUCUCGACUGGAGCGAUCCCUUCAGCGGAAGCUGAUGCAUUACUAUCUACAUCGUCUGCCACUGCUACGUCAGGAUCCAUUUACUAUAUAAAAACACAAUUUAAAUAUCCAAGAGUCGUCACACUAUCACAAUGUAUUUAUGGCUUGUAUAGAGAGACUUGUACACUCGCUACGUUAGUCUAAGAAUCAACUAAAUCGUAGCUCUGAUACCACUAAAUGUAACACCUCUUACCCGAGUUUGACAUCAGAACAGGAUACAAGGUGUUACCGACUUGAACACAUACAUACAAACAUUAUUGGGUUAUAAAAUUUUACUCGACUUUAAAACUUUCAAACUUUCUCUUAGUAACCCCUAAUAUAAACCUACAAGGCCCAAAAUGCGCUUUGAAAAUGGUUGGGGAAUAAACUAAACACUUUAGAUAACUUUAUAAAAUUUCAAAGCAAACAGGGGCACAUGCCCGUGUGUAUUCUUAACAUGGCUAUGUUGAAGCCCCGUGUGGCUCACACGGCCUGAACAUAUCGGGACACGCCUGUGUCCCUAGCUCGUGUGAAUUUAUUUCUCGAUUAGAACCUAUAGGGGUUUUCAUAGGGCUUGGCGCAUGGCCAUGUCCAUUGUCCGUGUCCCCCACACGACCAUGACACGCCUGUGUCUCAGCCCACGUACAAAAACCUUGACAUUCUAUUUCUGACGUCAGCAACCCUUUAGGGGUAUACGCCCAUCGUACACGCUCGUGUACCAGGCCUUGUCCUCCACACGGUUGAGACACAUGGCUGUGUCUCUGCCCGUGUGAUUACUACUGAGCAUUCUGUUUUGCUAAAUUUAAAUGCAAGGGACACACGGCUUGACUACAUGCCCAUGGGGCAAACCGUGUGUCACACACGGUUUAGACACACGCUAGUGUCUCUGCUCGGCUGGGCAAAAACAAGGCUAUCUACCAAGCCUUUUUGCCACCUUUACUUGUUCCAACCUACACAACAUCAAACAUAUCCAAUCCAACCAUAAACACCAAUAACCAAAAUAGCCACAACCACAAAAAUUUUCAUCGAAUGCAUUUAAUGGUAAUCAAUAUUAGCCAACAUCAAUGGCCUAUACAAAAUGAAUACCACAUCCAUAUGAGCCAACACAUGUGGCUAAAAUAACAUGACACUAAACAAAACGAACUAGUCCCUAUACAUGCCAUACUCAAAACAUUUAAACUAACUAUACCAAAAGCUUCAGGUGAUAAUGUGAUCGAUGCCUCCGACGUCCCUUGAUUCUUGAUGCUAGUUUGGCGGCACUAUAAGAAAAUAGAAAAAAGAGGGAGUAAGCAUAAGGCUUAGUAAGUUACAAGUAAAUAAUCAACAUUGCGUUACCAAGUAACAUCAUACUCAUAACAUAUCAUACACUUGCACAAGAUUCUUGAAUGACUAUAGACAUGACUUACUCAUUUCAUCCUUACUAUUCAUAUAGAUAACCCGAGCUCAUUCUUAUGAGUUUUGUGUAGGUACCUGUACCACUUACAACAUAAUCAUAACUUUUCUCAAUCAUGAUAUAAUCUUUAAAUUACCCGAUAAGCCGAUUGGAAUAGUAAAUGGAUACCCGAUAAGCCUCAUACAAAAGGGUAAGAUGCCGAUGCCAUGUCCCAAACAUGGUCUUACACUAGCCCACAUGUAGAGGCCGAUGCCAUGUCCUAAACAUGGUCUUACACUAGCUCACCUAUCAAUGCUGAUGCCAUGUUCCAAACAUGGUCUUACACUGGCUUACAUAUCGAGGCUGAUGCCAUGUCCCAAACAUGGUCUUACACUAGCUCUCAUAUCAAUGCCAAUGCCAUGUUCCAAACAUGGUCUUACACUGGCUCACAUAUCGAGACCAAUGCCAUGUCCCAGACAUGUUCUUACACUAGCUCUCCUCUCAAUGUUGAUGCUAUGUUCCAAAUAUGGUCUUACACUGGCUCACAUAUCGAGGCCGAUGCCAUGUCCCAAACAUGGUCUUAUACUGGCUUUCAUAUCAAUGCCGAUGUCAUGUUCCAAAUAUGGUCUUACACUGACUCACAUAUCGAGGCUGAUGCCAUGUCCCGAACAUGGUCUUACACUGGCUCACAUAACCCUAGUAUCACGGCAUAGAUAUUCGAUCUAUUCCUACGGUUCAACAGGGAGUCUCACCACAUCAAAUUUCGUCAUGUAUAUUUGUAACAAAAUCAAGCAUUUCAUUCAAUGUCAAUAAUUUAAUGCAUAAUAACAAUAGUGUUGUAAUAUUUACGUGCAAUUUACCUCGGUAUACAAAAGGUAGGCGGCUAAUUGGAUUUAGUCUACUAGCUUGGCCUUCCUCCGAUCUAGGCCCGGAUUUCGUAUUUCUUGGUCUAAAAUGAUAAAAAUUCACUAAUUUAAUAAUCAUAUUAAUCAAUGCAUUUCAUAAUUCAUAUUUUGGCAAAAUAACCAUUUUGCCCCUAGACUUUUACAAAAUUAUGAUUUUACCCCUAGGCUCGUAAAUCGAUUUUUAUCAAAUUUCCUAUUUAUUCAAACCUAGGCGAACCUUUUAUUACACUUAUGGCAUCUCACAAUUUCGAUUAUUUCACACAAUUACUACCUAUUUUAUAACCUUUACAAAAAGGUCCAUUUUAGGUGUUUUUCAUGAACACCACUUCACAAGAGUUACUUAUUUCACAAGUAUAACUCAUUUUCUUCCAUAAAGUUCUAGCUCAUAACAUAAAUAAUUUCAUGGAAAACCUUAAACUCUCAACCAUAUUGCAAAAUAGUCCCUUCAUUAGCUAAAUUAAGCUAUAAGGGGCCCAAAAGUAUAAAAAUUAUCAAGAAAAGUCAUCAAAAUCACUUACUUAUGAGAGAACUUAAUGGAUGAUAGUUUCAAGCUUCAAAAACCCCUUUCUUGCUGAUAUUUUUGGUGGAGAAGAUGAAUGGUAAAAAGAUGAAGCCCUUUUGUUUUAUUUUAUCUUAUUUCUAGUCAAAAUAGCUACCAACUUCACCUAAUUUUGAAUUUUCUAUUCUUUUUUGUCUCUAUGGCCGGCCACCCCUAUUGAAAUGGGUCUUUUUGCCCUUUAAAGACUCCUAAUUAUGAUUCUUUUAUUAUUUAUGCUAGAAAAACAAAACUUUUUCCCUUUAUACAAUUUAGUCCUUUUCGCAAUUAAGCUCACAAUCACUAAAAUUAAUUCAUCAAAAAUUUUAUGCAUCCAUGUAAACAUGCUAUAACACAUAACACAUAAAAUACUAUUAAAAAUAAUCUCUCUGGCCUCGGAUUAGUGGUUUCAAAACCACUAUUCUGACUAGGCCCAAAAUCAGGCUGUUAUAAGGUCCCAGAAGCCAUGCCUCAUUUUAGGUGUUGAUGGAUUUGCCAUUACCUACCCUCUAACCCGUACCUUCUUCUAAAGGGCCUCUCGUGCUCCAAAUGCUUCUCCAGCCAUACGAUGGGUGAAAUCCUAAAACUUCUGUUAAAAAUUCACUAUUUUAGUAAUAUUUAGCUUUCAUGACUCUAACAAGUAAAUAAUCUGGGAACAUGAUUAAUUUCCAACCCUAUUUAGUAAGCAAAGUAAUAUUAAAUUUAGCUUCUAAACCACCCUGCGCUUCCAGCCUGCAUAGGCUUUUCCACUCGCACCAAUGUAUCAUUUUUCCUGUUUUGGAAAACUUACUAAUUAUUUUUUCAAGCUCGCGACAUAAAGUUUAGGGUAACAAAAAAAAAUUGCAUGGAAUAAACUGGUAUGGCUUGUAAAACUGACUUAAUGAAAACUUCUUUACCUCCAAGCAAUAAGUACUGGAUACUCCAAUUUUCUAAUCUUUUUUGCGAAUCUGUCUUUGAAAUUAACGAAAGCUUUUUUUUCCAUCUUCCAAUCAUAGUUGGGAGACCUAAAUAUUUUUUUUCGGAUUAUUCAAACUUCUACUCCAAGGGCCACUCCAAUCUAAUCUUUAAUUUCAUUCUUCACGUUGUUACUAAAAUAAAUAAGGGAUUUAUCAAAAUUAAUUAGUUGGCUUGAAACCCCUUCGUGUUCUUUUAUAAUCAUUUUAAUAGUGUUGGCUCCUUCCAAACUUGCUUCCCCAAUUAGGAUAUUGUCAUCUACAAAAAAUUGUUGAGUUAGGGCUAAACCACUUCUCCCAACCCUUACCCCUUUAAUAAUUCCAUCAUUUUUUACUAGUUUCAAUAGUGAGGAGAAUUCUUCCGCACAUAAUAAGAAACAAUAUGGGUUGAGUAGAUCCCCCUAUCUUAAUCCACUUGAAGGUCUGAAUUUUUCUACUCUUGUCCCAUUAAGGAUAACUAAAUAUUCCACUAUUCGAACACAACUCAUUACUAGACUCAACCAUUCUUCGCAGAAACCUAUUCGUCUCGUAACUUUUUCUAUGAAAUUCCACUCCACCCUGUCAUAUGCUUUACUCAUGUCCAAAUUUAAUGCAAAGUAACCCCAUAACCCUACUUUCUUAUGCUUUAAAAUCUAAAGUAUCUCAUAUGCAAUAAGGACAUUAUCCGUGACUUGCCUUCUAAGAAUAAAAGUUGCUUGUGCUUUGUCAAUACAAUUGUCCAACACCAUUCUGAAUCUAUUCUCCACAGCUUUAGAAAUAAUUUUACACACCACAUUGCACAAACUAAUAGGCCUGAAUUGUGUCAUGUUGUCCAGUUAGCUAACUUUUGGGAUAAGUACAAUAUUGGUGUAAUUGAUUUUUUCGAUUUCCUUUCUCCUGUUUAAGAUGUCUAAGAAAAAUUUAUAAAUUUCAUCACCCAAGAUGUGCCAAUACUUUUGAUAAAAUAAUGCGGGGAAACCAUCCACUCUAGAUGCUUGUAACGGGCAUAUGUUUUUUACUGCCAAAGUUACCUCUUCCAUUUGAAAAUCCUCCAACAAUGUCCUACUCAUGUUUUCCUGAAUGCACUUUGUAAUACCUGAAAGCGCCUCUCAUCAUUCCAUGUAUUUGAAGCCGUAAACAAUUCCUUCAAGUAUUCCGCCACAAUCCCCAAUUUCCUUUCCUCAUCAGUGAUCUAUUCUACGUUCGGUUCUUUCAAUUUUUUCACUUUGUUUCUUCUCUUUUUUUGAUUUGCGAAGUUGUGAAAAAAUGUUCGUGUUUCGGUCACCAAAUCUAAGUCAAUUUUUCCUAGCAUGUUGUUCCCACAUUAAUUAUUCUCUAUCAGCUUCCAAAUUUAAAGCCAGUUUGACCUCUUCCAUCUUUGCGAACGUCUCAUCAUCUGGGUCUAUAAUAUUUAGCUCCUCUAAUAUCUUAUUCAAGAAAACAAAUUCCCUUCUUUUAUUUGUUGUAAAUUGACUCAUCUAUUUGCUUAGUACCUUUCUUAGUUUACGCAGCUUCAUACAAACAUCUUUCUCGUUCCCCUCCCAAAAAUUUUUUAUUCGACAUUCACAUUCUUCUUCUAGCACCCAACUUGCAUUAAAUUUGAAGCUCCCAUUCUCACAAGAUUUAUUGCAUUCUACCCCUAUAUUUACCAAUAUCGAGCAAUGAUUAGAUAUAGCAUGCAUUAGAUGUCUGAAAGAAUACUUUGGGAAGGCCUCCUACCAUGCUUGAUUAGCCACUCCUCUAUCUAACAUUUCACGAACAUUAUUUUCUGGCAAUCUACCUCUUUCCCAUGUGAACCACCUCGCCCCUAAACUCUAAAUCAUUAAGGUCACCUUUUCAAAAACCUCACGAAAUCGGGCCAUGUUUCUCUCACUUCUUAAUCUGCCACCCCUUUUCUCAAAUGAAUACAUGAUUUCAUUAAAAUCUCUCAUGAUUAUCCAUAGUAUACCCCGACAAUUCCCUAACCUCUGUAGGAGGUUUCAAGAUUCCCUUCUAUUUUGUUCCUUUGAAUAACCAUAGAAACCUGUUAAUCUCCUUGUUGGCGCUCCGUCUUUUUCCAUGACAACUACAUCGAUAUGAUUGGUUGAAUAACUUCACAACUGUACAUCAUAUUCUUCUUUCCAUCCAAUUGACAAUCCACCUUUGGAACCUUACGCACCCAUGUCUAUUCCAUUGGUAAAUCCACAUCUCACUCUAACUUUUUUCAUUCUUUUGUUACUUAACUUUGUUUCUAUUAGAAACAAAAUUUGGGGUAGUACAUGUCUCACCUUAUUCCGUAGGCGAUUAACCGCUUGUGGAUGCCCCAAUCCACGAAAGUUCCAACUUAGGAUUUUCAUUACGCCUAGUCGGAACGCUAAUUAGUUGCCACCGAUCUCUUUUUAAAUUGAAUCAAAGCACUCAAGUCAUUCCCCUCACACGAAUGGUCAUUCCUUAUUCUUUAUCUUUUUUUCAUUCACCAUAUUUGAUUGGUGUAUCCUCCAUUAUGGCCUCUCUUUGUCCCAUAGACCAACUCCUUGAGAAAAAUCCUCACCAUCUAUUCUUCUUCUUUCCCAUCCAUAUAAUUCCAUUCCAACAAAGCUAUUACCCUUCUUGAUUCUAGUUGGCAAUUCCUCCCUUAACCAUAUAAUUUUGGAAAUCAACUCAUUUCUAGAUGGUGCUAUUAGUGAGAGGUUCCAUCCAAAUAUAACCUUUUGAAUUCUGAUUGUCUUUAGUACUGGGUAAAAACCCUACCCAUGACCUAAUUUCCAUAAAGAAAAUUGGAAAUACGUAUAGCCCUGUUGUUCUUGUAUCAACAUCAGCUUUUUCUUUCUCUUCAAAGCUAGCCGUACGUCAAUUUUUACCCUAAAUCUCAUAUAUCUUUGUUCUCCUUAUGAAAUCAAAAGAGCAUCGCAGUGUAUAAAUUGUCCAAAAAAAUCCCCUAAUUUCCUUGCUAAACCUUCUGAUAUUACUCCAUAUUGUAGAUUGUGAACUUGGAUCUAAAAAUAAGAAUAAAAUAAUAGGAUCUGCUUUGGAUCUUCCCCGAUAUUCAAUUGGUGGAAAAUUAAUAGAUGCCUGUUAGAAGUCCAUGACAUUCCAUCCAAUACUAUUUUAAUAUCCAUUUCAUAGAAGAAUCAAAAUAAGUAUCAUUUUUUUCCCUAAAUCUGUGAUUAUAACUCCUCCUAACGGAUGCCAUAAGUCCACGAUAGUUUUCUUGAGAGACGGAAAGUGAAUUACGCAAUCUGUAAGAGCUCUCCUGACUAAACAAAAUCAACGAUCUUCAUCAUCAUUAUUUGGCUCUCUUUCAUAGGGAAUCGACUCUUCUUCUUCAUUCUCCAAACUCAGAUUUGCGAUGUUUGCCUCCAUCUGUGGUAAGCUUUUUUGUAGGUAAACCGUAGCAAACGAAAGAACUUAUUAAACUUUAAGAGUAAUUGAGAGUUAAAAUUCUUAAUAUUAAGUUAACAUUUAUAUAUUUUAUAAAUUUAAAUAAAGAUAAUUUAUUUAUUAUAUAAUAAUAUUGAUGGAGAGAGCUUGAAUUUGAACGAAUCUACCAAAACUAGAUGGGCAGCUUAAUUCUAUUUAGAUAGUAUUGUGCAUAAAUACAAUUUAUAUAUUUAUAUUAUAUUUAAAUAUUUUUUAUGUCAUGUUCAAAAUAUUUAAUAUUUACAUAACUUGAUAAUUUAUAAAAUUUGAAAUAUUUAUGCAUAUUUAAAAAUAUAUUUUUAAGUAAAAAAAAUCAUCGUAUGAUGUAAUAUGUAUAUAUUGAUUUGGUAAUCAUUAAUUUUCAUUAUUCAAUUUAGCUUUUCGUCCUUAAAAAAGGAGUAAUCAUAAAUGAGGGAGAAGAAUAUUCCUAAUGCUAACCUUUCACCCUUCGUAUAUUUAGAUCUAUCCAUAAAGUUGUUACCCUUUAUGCUUUGCUUUUUCAUACUUUAUAAUACCAUCUUUACUGUAAUAAAUAUAUAGUUCCUAUUUUUAAAAAAAAUUAUAAUUGGAUGACAUCUUUAAUAAAAUUUAAAUAUUUUUAUUGAAAUAAUAUAUUAGCUAAAAUUUCUACUGGUACUAAAAAACUUUUAUUAUUAUUAUUUUUAAUACUUACUUACUAUUAAAAUUAUUUAACUUUUUUGAGUUUAAUCUUUUAAAUAAAAGAAGGAAAAAGAAAACCCCAUCAAAACUCAAAAGUUACUUUGUCCAAAUUCUGGUGUAAUAAUAAUAUGUUGGGAAUUUUUAUAGCUGAGCGGUAUCCAACACUUGUACCUUUAAAAUGAUGGGUGUCCAUGUGGUGGGAAGGGCACCAUCGCAGGCCUAGUUUUACAUGUUCAACACUUUAGCCCCCAGUCUAGCUUAAUGGGCUACUUCACUUUCUGGACUCUUAGCCUUGUCUCCUCCUCUGUUUAAGUUCUCACUGGUGGACUCUGGUGUCUUUUUUAGCCUUCAUGUUGGCAUCGCACAUGCUGCUCGGUCCCGGCAUUCUUCUCUCCCUCUUCUUCCUUCGACAAUGGCGCAACGAAGGGUUUUUAUAGGAUUGGGUUUUCGGACUUAAU
This 28460-nucleotide long non-coding RNA is filed under the name Gossypium barbadense (sea-island cotton). Its description in RNAcentral is "long non-coding RNA (GBAR_LNC001415)". The record is from RNAcentral. Lineage: Eukaryota; Viridiplantae; Streptophyta; Magnoliopsida; Malvales; Malvaceae.